RNAcentral lists this transfer RNA (70 nucleotides) under Heterocephalus glaber (naked mole-rat). It matches the Rfam family "tRNA". From Rfam's summary of the family: Transfer RNA (tRNA) molecules are approximately 80 nucleotides in length. Their secondary structure includes four short double-helical elements and three loops (D, anti-codon, and T loops). Further hydrogen bonds mediate the characteristic L-shaped molecular structure. tRNAs have two regions of fundamental functional importance: the anti-codon, which is responsible for specific mRNA codon recognition, and the 3' end, to which the tRNAs corresponding amino acid is attached (by aminoacyl-tRNA synthetases). tRNAs cope with the degeneracy of the genetic code in two manners: having more than one tRNA (with a specific anti-codon) for a particular amino acid; and 'wobble' base-pairing, i.e. permitting non-standard base-pairing at the 3rd anti-codon position. The record is from Rfam by way of RNAcentral. Lineage: Eukaryota; Metazoa; Chordata; Mammalia; Rodentia; Bathyergidae.
GGGGGUGUAGCUCAGUGCUAGAGCAUUUGCCUGGCAUGGAUGAGGCCCUGGGUUCAGAUCCCCAGCCCCA